This 1244-nucleotide long non-coding RNA is filed under the name Gadus morhua (Atlantic cod). RNAcentral's name for it is "lncRNA (ENSGMOG00000029374.1)". The record is from RNAcentral. Lineage: Eukaryota; Metazoa; Chordata; Actinopteri; Gadiformes; Gadidae.
CGAGAAUACAUUAAGAUGACUUCGACAAAACGGAUCUCCCAAGCCGGUGGCAGCGGCUCGGGCGAGGCCUUGGACAAACGGCCCUCUUCAGGGCCACCUGAGAGCGCUCCUGGAGCUAGGUCCUUUUCAGGACCCCUAUGCGCCUCCUGUCCCGUCUCCCUGGCACCGGGUGACGGGCACUUGGCGUGCUUUCGGUGCCUGGGCGCCGACCACGCCACGGCUGCUAUGGCGGCCCCCGUCUCCUGUGUCGCCUGCCGGGAGCUGCCUGAAGAGGGGAUCCUCUCCAGGCAUCUCUUCUUUUCUCCUGCGGUGGACCCCGCUGACGCCAUCGACCUGUUCAGGGCCGGCCCUGAUCUGAACGACGACGACGGCAUCGUCGACACGAUGACGACGCCUCCAUGGACGACGUCUUCGGUGACCGGUUUUUCCCGCUCCCGGGUUACAACCGUCACAGUCGUCCAACGUGGGAAACCGCGCCGGAUGGCCGAUCUCUUCUGGAGAUCAUGGGUGAGGCGGCGGCCAUCAAGGGGAUUCCCAUGCCGGCCCCGCCUCUCGUCCCCGCCUGGAGCCUCCCCUGGCAGCGCUUCUCUGUCCGGGCACCGGAUGGCGCCCUAACGAAAAGCCGCUGCCCCCCGACCGCCUCCAGAGACAGAUUGUCGGCGGUGCGUUCUACCAUCGUGGUUGGACAACACGUUGAGAUGGGGCCAUCCCAUACAGUUGAAGCGUCGUCCCCCACGCUUUAUGGGGUUGGUGGAGACCACGCUACGGGACCCGGCUGCGAGCACGGCUCUGGCAGCAGAGGUGGCACGUCUCUUGGUGAAGGGGGCCAUCACUGUCGUUCCCCCCCACGAGUCUCACCUAGGGUUUUAUUCCCGCUACUUCCUGGUUUCCAAGAAGUCAAGGGAAAAUAUACCUAUUCUGGAUCUUUGCGUGUUCAACAGAUUCGUUGCCACGAGGAAGUUCAGAAUGCUCACUGUCGGAGCAUUGUUCCGGUGUGUGAGAGAGGGCGAUUGGUUCACAUCCCUGGAUCUCAAGGAUGCUUACUUCCACCUCCCUGUUCGGCAGGCGCACAGGAAGUUUCUCCGCUUUGCCUUUAUGGGGAUGGUGUACGAGUACCAGUGUCUGCCGUUCGGCUACUCCCUGGCUCUGCGCACCUUCUCAAAGUGUGUGGAGAGGGCGUUGGAACCGCUCAGGCGUCAGGGAAAGAGGAUUCUCUUCUACCUAGACGACCUGCUUAUUCUGAG